UUCAUCUUGCAUGAUCUGUCUAUGUAUUUAUGCAUUUCAGCCUGUUUUACUUCUUGGUGUAUGUUGGUAUAUACCAAGUUGGAGUUUUUUUUAAUCUCUUUCUAAUCCUGCCUCUGGUGUUUCCUCACUUUCCUGUUUUUAGAAAAUGCUGUUGUUAUUGGGUGUUUUACAAUUACAAAGCCAUGUAUUGCUUUGGGUGGAUUCUGUGAAGCAAUUUCUGUUAUAUUUUAUAUGAAUGAAAAGUUUUAUACAAAUAAAGAGUGAUUGAUUGA
Sander lucioperca (pikeperch) is the source of this 272-nucleotide long non-coding RNA. RefSeq lists it as uncharacterized. Lineage: Eukaryota; Metazoa; Chordata; Actinopteri; Perciformes; Percidae. The transcript has 2 exons. The record is from RefSeq and is a predicted model, not a curated record.